ACGGGUGAGUAACACGUAUCCAACCUGCCGUCUACUCUUGGACAGCCUUCUGAAAGGAAGAUUAAUACAAGAUGGCAUCAUGAGUCCGCAUGUUCACAUGAUUAAAGGUAUUCCGGUAGACGAUGGGGAUGCGUUCCAUUAGAUAGUAGGCGGGGUAACGGCCCACCUAGUCUUCGAUGGAUAGGGGUUCUGAGAGGAAGGUCCCCCACAUUGGAACUGAGAUACGGUCCAA
Molecule: ribosomal RNA, 232 nt
Filed under: uncultured bacterium
Lineage: Bacteria
Description: partial 16S ribosomal RNA
Rfam family: Bacterial small subunit ribosomal RNA
Source: RNAcentral